RNAcentral lists this ribosomal RNA (468 nucleotides) under uncultured bacterium. Its description in RNAcentral is "partial 16S ribosomal RNA". It matches the Rfam family "Bacterial small subunit ribosomal RNA", at positions 28 to 507 of the family's 1533-position model. The record is from RNAcentral.
GACGAACGCUGGCGGCGUGCUUAACACAUGCAAGUCGAACGGAAAGGCCCUGCUUUUGUGGGGUGCUCGAGUGGCGAACGGGUGAGUAACACGUGAGUAACCUGCCCUUGACUUUGGGAUAACUUCAGGAAACUGGGGCUAAUACCGGAUAGGAGCUCCUGCUGCAUGGCGGGGGUUGGAAAGUUUCGGCGGUUGGGGAUGGACUCGCGGCUUAUCAGCUUGUUGGUGGGGUAGUGGCUUACCAAGGCUUUGACGGGUAGCCGGCCUGAGAGGGUGACCGGCCACAUUGGGACUGAGAUACGGCCCAGACUCCUACGGGAGGCAGCAGUGGGGAAUAUUGCACAAUGGGCGGAAGCCUGAUGCAGCAACGCCGCGUGCGGGAUGACGGCCUUCGGGUUGUAAACCGCUUUCGCCUGUGACGAGGCGUGAGUGACGGUAAUGGGUAAAGAAGCACCGGCUAACUACGUG